RNAcentral lists this transfer-messenger RNA (396 nucleotides) under human gut metagenome. It matches the Rfam family "transfer-messenger RNA". From Rfam's summary of the family: Bacterial tmRNA, also known as 10Sa RNA or SsrA, is named for its dual tRNA and mRNA-like properties. Its role is to liberate the mRNA from a stalled ribosome. The record is from RNAcentral. RNAcentral also lists the same sequence under 1 other name.
GGGGAUGUUUUGGUUUUGACAGCAUCGAUUUCGGGUGGUAAGCACGUCGGGAGUAGGAGAUUGGCCCGUUAAUCCCAGUCUUCAAGCCAUAACUGGCAACUAUAACUACUCAUACGCUUGCUAGUCUCCAAGAGACUGAGCAUCAAUCGGCGCCGCCAAGGCUGCGACGCUGACGUAUAUCCCUCCAGCUUUAGGCCGGUUCAGUCUGGACAAAGGGGUAUCAUCAAAACCGGAUGCGCGGCCCCGACGCCUCUACGGACCGUUAAGACUUCAGAGGAUAAGCCGUGCUUGGCCUGUCUUUCGGCACUGCACAGUCGAAAACCAAAGAAAGAAUAAGCGUGUAGAAAGCCAUUUGGGGCGUUGUUUGGACGAGGGUUCGAAUCCCUCCAUCUCCAC